Molecule: non-coding RNA, 780 nt
Filed under: Mus musculus (house mouse)
Lineage: Eukaryota; Metazoa; Chordata; Mammalia; Rodentia; Muridae
Source: RNAcentral
GGCUUGAGGACCGUAUUCAUGGAAGAGGAUUGAACAGAGAUGAAGUAGACAGUAUGUUGGAUAAAUCUGGAGUAAAGAACCCAGCAAUUGGUAAAGAUGAGAAUAUAUCGCCUCAAGUAAAAGGAGAUGAAGACAUGGGAGAUGAAAUUGACAGUAUGUUGGCUACAUCUGGAGGUCUUUUCUCCUGAGAACACGGGACUCCAGCAUCUUCGGAUUCUGCUCUUGGAGGGGUUGCCCCACAUCCUCUAUAUUGCAGAAAACAAGACUAGGCUCUACCUCUGUAGAUCAAGCACGACUGAAUCCGUGCUCUCAAAAGAUGCUGGGGAGAAAGAGUGCCAUUCUUCACAAAUGCUGACUUGGAUAUUAAACAAAGUCAAAGAAGUAUCCUAGCCAUCAACAGUCAACCCAAACUGUUGGAAGAAGGAUAUGUUCUGCUGUCUCUCCCAAUGACACAACUAUGAAAUAUAAACUCUGAUCAGGAUGGAACUUAUGAUCAUCACUGGAACAUCUCCACUAUAUAAGUACCAGGAUCUUUUACCUUGGACAGAAGUGUAUAUGGCACUUCACAGUCUGCCUCAAGGAGAUUCUGUCCUCUUCUUGCAGCAGGGCCUAUGUGUGCAGCUGAACAGAGCGUUGAGGAAACGUCAGUGAUUUUAUAACUACUUAUCAUGUUGGGAGAUUGUUGUGAUGAUUGCCUGGACUCUCAGAUGUUACACAGGCUGCAUCAUUGGACUGAAAGUGAAUGGCCCAUGUGUUGCCACUGAUGUGAGCCAUUAAGCC